AUCUCCAGUCUUGAAAUGGGCUGACGUUUGGAGAGACAGUCACCUUCCCAUGGAAGCAAGGCUCCGAGGAUGGGCUCCCCGUGGGGAGCAGUUCCAAGCUUGUCCGGUUUGUCUUGUGGGUGCUUGUGGUGAGAGAAUAAUCCAGAAAGCUUUCCCAGAGGUUUACAACGGCAUUAGAAAGCUUCAGAGAAGAGCAGCCUGGCCCAGAGGAGCUCAUAAUUCUGUUUCAUCACACAAUUAUCAGCAAUGACCCCUUUCCCACAUUUCCAACAAAACAUCUUGAAGGACUCAUAUUUCUAAAAUUCACCCAUCCACAAAUCUUAAUUACUGCAAAGAAUUCCACAUUGCAGAUGCCUCAGACUUAAAAAAGAAAAAGAAAAAAUCCACGAAAUGUGUUUGUUUUCUCACGGCUUCGUUUAAAACCGUUCAAAGGCAACAGAUUUUGCUUUACACCGUUGCGCUCUGCGUGCUCAAGCUGCUUCGAAGCUGUUGACUGAGCUGUGAUUGCUAUGAGUCAUCUGCUCACUCGACAAAUUCACUAAAAACCUGCUUUGCCUAAAUGUUAGUUGUAACUUGAACCUAUUGUUUCAUUGAAUUUAAUUUACUUGGGAGAGGGUGGGGAAAAUAAACUGUAAUUUUAUGAUUGAUUGAAAUGGUUAAAAGUUUAUUUCCCUGCUCCUAAAGUUUUUUUUUUUUUUUCUCACUUUAAGAUAAAAAAUCCAUACUAGUAUUUCAG
Molecule: long non-coding RNA, 736 nt
Filed under: Homo sapiens (human)
Lineage: Eukaryota; Metazoa; Chordata; Mammalia; Primates; Hominidae
Description: HSALNT0049229
Source: RNAcentral